GAUGAACGCUGGCGGUGUGCCUAAUACAUGCAAGUCGAGCGAACAGACGAGGAGCUUACUCCUCUGACGUUAGCGGCGGACGGGUGAGUAACACGUGGAUAACCUACCUAUAAGACUGGGAUAACUUCGGGAAACCGGAGCUAAUACCGGAUAACAUGUUGAACCGCAUGGUUCAACAGUGAAAGACGGUCUUGCUGUCACUUAUAGAUGGAUCCGCGUCGCAUUAGCUAGUUGGUAAGGUAACGGCUUACCAAGGCAACGAUGCGUAGCCGACCUGAGAGGGUGAUCAGCCAAACUGGAACUGAGACACGGUCCAGACUCCUACGGGAGGCAGCAGUAGGGAAUCUUCCGCAAUGGGCGAAAGCCUGACGGAGCAACGCCGCGUGAGUGAAUAAGGUCUUCGGAUCGUAAAACUCUGUUAUUAGGGAAGAACAAAUGUGUAAGUAACUAUGCACGUCUUGACGGUACCUAAUCAGAAAGCCACGGCUAACUACGUG
Molecule: ribosomal RNA, 497 nt
Filed under: uncultured bacterium
Lineage: Bacteria
Description: partial 16S ribosomal RNA
Rfam family: Bacterial small subunit ribosomal RNA
Source: RNAcentral